Molecule: long non-coding RNA, 497 nt
Filed under: Nicotiana benthamiana
Lineage: Eukaryota; Viridiplantae; Streptophyta; Magnoliopsida; Solanales; Solanaceae
Description: long non-coding RNA (NBEN_LNC002518)
Source: RNAcentral
AUUAUGUUCACUUCAAAUAAUCAAGAAAUGCAACUACUGAAACUUUCAUGAUUAAUACUUUUGGGAAAGCUACAAAUAUGAAUCUUGUAAAGAGUGACUGGUCAUCCUAGUUAUUACUUUGUAAAACUAAGCUAGUAGCACAAUCAUUAUGAGCAUGUCUUUUCCCUCUUUUAUCCACGUGAUCGUUUCUUAUUCUAGUGGUGCCACAAUGUCAGAACUUCCACAUCCUUUAGCCAUAUAAUGAUGAUUACUAUGAGAGCACAGCAACACAAAUAGUGUUCUGUAGUAGGAAUACACUUUCUCUGAAAACCUUCGGCACUUAAGCAGAUAAAUUCAAGCUAAUAGAUUGUCAUCAACAAGAUGUAAUUUACAUGGAACAUCAUUAUUAAGCCAAUUGCUGGAUACAAUGCUUGCCACUUGGCUUGCUUUCUCCCUACAAACCUAUAUGAGAAACUUUUCACUAAAGAACUAACCUUAUACCUGGCAGGAAGAAAACG